This 32064-nucleotide long non-coding RNA is filed under the name Eucalyptus grandis. Its description in RNAcentral is "long non-coding RNA (EGRA_LNC003640)". Lineage: Eukaryota; Viridiplantae; Streptophyta; Magnoliopsida; Myrtales; Myrtaceae. The record is from RNAcentral.
GGCAAGAGGGGGCACCUGUCGGGCCAGGUCUCCUCGAUGUACUGGAGGAUGAUGAGGGACUCGCAGACGGGCUUGCCGUUGUGGACGAGGACGGGGAUCUUCUUGUGGACGGGGUUCAUGCGGAGGAGGAGGUCGCUCUUGUUCCUCAGGUCCUCCUCCUUGUACUCGUACUUGACCCCUUUCUCCGCCAGCGCCAACCUGCACCGCAUGCCGAACAUGCUCGGCCAGAAGUCCAGCAGGAUCACCUCGUCCGCCAUCGCUUCCGCCUCACCACCACACGAUCUCUCGAGAAAGCAGCAGAGAUAUCGCGAAUUCCAAGCGCCUCAAGGUUUAAUGCAGACGGUGCGCCCAGCUCAGCAAGAAUUUAUGUGUGAGGCUGGGUGAGAGGGUGGGUAUUUAUGGGCUCGAGUCUAAUUAGAUUGCUUUAAAAAAUGAGAAGUUGGUCGUCGUUAAGAAUAAUUUCAACCAGUUUCGCCUAUUAUGGAUUACUUAUAUCCUUUUUAAUCGGUCAAAAUUCAACGCAUCGUUUAAGAAAUACAUAUAUUAGUAAAGAGUUCUAGUACAUCUAGCAUUGUGUAAUCUGCUCUCAAGGCAAUUGCUUAUAAUUUUUUGGUGGGGGCGGGGCGGGAUUUUUCCAAAGGCAUUGACGUUCGAGACCCGGCAUAUCCUUCAAAGAUUUUUUUUUAUUCUCGUCGUGUCCAAAACGACAUAAGCUGAGACGACAAGUCGUCUGUGAGGUUGCUGUUGUUGAUCAUUCCAGACCAUUCCAGACUAUUCCACGAAAACGUAAUCACUUUCGUCAUCGCGCUGUCCCCCCCAAAACGAAACUCAUGAAAGGCAAUGGGACCCACUUUGGCAAGACAGGGCCCAGAAAGGAAAAAUAAAGAAAUAAUUGUUUGUCCCCUCUUUAUGUAGCCAUUCGUCUAGGAAUCUGUAAGAUUGGCCCCCCGAAUGAUAAUUUUGCUCUGUUGCUCCAAUUGAAUGCCUAUCGUUUUGGGAAGGUACGAGAGGAGGGAUCAGUGUCAUUUUGCUACGAAUCCUUUUCCUGUUUUCCCGGAAGAGGAAGUUAUUCUUUGGGAACCUGUUGCUUCUUACAUUAAUUCAAGAAGAGAGGUACCACGAUUUCUAAUGUCAUCGGGGGAAACCAAGAUAUGACCCUUCAAGUUGUAGAAAAGCUGAUAUGACCAGUUUCUCAGGGUCUCGCCCUCCCCUUCCUCCCUUAUUGUCAUGUUUUUUCUUUUCUUAUUUCUUACUCUUUCUCUAUCUAGAUUUGAGGAUAUAAUAAAAUAUAUUUUUCAGUAUACGACACCCAUGUGCUCCAUUCCGUGUACAGGUCAUAUACCUCCAGCUCCAAUGGUUAUUGUAGAAACUUCAAAUCACGAAGAUUUGCUCUUUCAAAUAUUAGAUCUGUAUUUGUUAACUUGUUUUGAUUAUCUUCAUUAUAGUGAUGGUGUAGAGAAAGACGAAUUUAGAUGUGCACUACCAAUUGACAAUGCCUAAAAUUUCUAGUAUAUCUUCAUCACUAACGAAGAUACGGGAUCUAAUGAUCAAUUGCCGAUUAUCUUGCUUGAGAGAUCUAUUAUUGUGAACGACCUCAUGCUUAACCUUGUCAAUAUUCUAUCGAUCCACUUUGUUUUCUAGAUUUGGAUUUGAAUUACAGUAUCUUGACUUUUUUUACUUCAAUUAGUUAUGUUAUUGUACUUCUAUUGUAUGCUUUUUUGUAAUAAAUAUAAUUUUUUUGGGAAAAAAAAUCAGCUAGAUCGCAUUCAAACAUUUAGAUUUCACAAAGCAAUUCCCAAGUUUAAUUCAAACAAGAGGAGGAGAAAAAGAGAAGUGCUUUGGCUGGAGGGUUUUGUUGGGGCGUUGUGAAUUAUGACAUAAAUGUACACAUGAUGUAGUAUUUUUAAAGGAAAGCCUAUGCAAAGUUAUGGGGCGCUGGAAUCACACAGCCUUCUACAUCCGAGAAUAAAUAUAACUCUUUGUCGCAACCGAGGUAUAAAAGAAGAUGCUCCCAUGAUUUAGCUUACAUGCUUUUGUAGAUUCUAAACAAUCACUAGAAAGGUGAGAGAGAAAAGUCGAGACUUGUCAUUGAAAGAACAUUGCAACAUACGAGUAUGCUGAGGAUGGCAAACCCGCGUUUGGAAAUAGCGCUUCAUCUUUUAAUAUCGAAUUUAUCAAACUAAUAUUAUUUUGUAUAGCUUUAUAAGUGAAACUAUGUCCGUGGAUCACUGCCUUCAAAAAAUACUUAAACUGCAUUUGGUGGAUUGGAUAUAGUUCGUAUAAAAAAAAAAAUUAUCCCACUAAAGGUUAUAUAGACCUGGAUAGAAACUAGGCAAAACCUUCAUCUAUACCUACACUAUUGCCCUCUCUUCCCAUCAUCCAUCCCCCUCCUCUUCUUCGGCCUAUUUAUGCUCUAUUCACUUUCAUGACUCACCCACCACCACACCAAGACAAGAAAGUCUCUAAAAAAAUUCCCCAAAAUUCACUUCGACCGGCCAUCGAGGUUUUGAUUUUGGUCUGGAUUUUUCACGCCCACGACUAAAGGUCUAAAUUGCAUAUAUACACAAUCCCCACGCUCUAUUGCGUCUACACGUACCUAGAAUUGGAGCUCUUGUUCACCAUCUUACCAUCCGGUUCGCGCCACCUCAGGGGUCGACCUCAAUCUGCGGUUUGACAAGUCCCACCUCACGACCUCGCUGAAGGACUUUUGGGGCCGGCAGUGGAACCUUAUGGUCAGCAGAAUUGUCUGGUCCACCACGUACGACCCUGUGCGGCACUACAUCCGAGGUGGUGACGGCCCUGAUGAGUCGAGAGUAGUUUCACUAUUUCCAUGGUUUAUUUUUACUUCUAAUCCUGCAAAUCUAACGGUCAUUUGAUCUAUAUAUUAUAUCCAAACAAUAACAAAAAUUAGAUGAGAUAUUUAAAAUCCUAUCAUAUCCUUAUUAUAUUCAACAUUAUCUAUCCAUAAUGGACAGCUUGUCAUUAGCAUUCACUCCUUGAGACUAGCAAGUAGAAACAUUAGCGUAAGAACAAAGCCUUAGGCCACACGGUUCAUUGAGGGAGAAAGGAAAGUUCAGGUUCAAGGUGGGAGGCAGCUCCAUGAAAGCUCAUGCCUGGAGUAAUUAAUUAAUCUUGCUGAGAGAAAAGAGAGAAUGAGAGAGCUGGGAGCAGAAGGCUUAAGGUGAAAUCACCACUUCGGUUUAGGCCUCAGUUUUCGUGCGUUAUUGUUAUUUGACUAAGUUCCCCUUGACAGGACCAACAAUAAACAAGGCAAGUCCUCAUUAUAGAAAUUCUCGAUAUAACAUGACAUGACAUGGGACAUCAUAUUGUCUCAAGUGCGUCAAUUCCGGACUCCUCAUUCUAGAUCUUAAAUCUUCUCAAUUAUUAUGCAAUAUCUAAUAUGUCUAUGAUUGAAUGUGUACUACUUUUGGACCUUUAGGUAAAAUCGAAAAGAUAUGAUUGGUGAGAUCAUAUCUCAAUUGAUUUAUCUUGAGUUUUUGGACUUUCGGCUGUGUCAUUCGUCAAAGAUUAGUAUGACUUAUUGUCAAUUCCUUGUGCGAAAAGAAGGCUAUAAACGGGACAAGAAGUAUUUAUGAGUGUCUUGAGGACACUUAAUAAAGCAUCUUUACUAAAAAUAAAAAAUAAAAAGUUGUUUAAAUUGGAGAUCCGAUUAUGCAUAUCAUGAGAAUAGUUAACUUAUUAAAAAGAAUAUUAUCUUUAUUGUAGGUUGUUUAAAAAAUGCCUCUACAAAGUCAAAAAGAUGCCAUUUUCUCUUCUAUUAAAUAUGAUAAGAAUUCAUUAGUCAAGCUCUUAUUAGAGAUUAAAAAUAUUAUCAAAAUUUUCAGAAUUAUCGUAAAUAGCCGAAUGAAGUGUAAAGAUUUUUUUCUAACUUAGUUACUAAAAGUCCUCUAUUCAAAUCUCAUUAAUAUUGAUAUAUAAAAUGUUGUGUUAUUAGGACCACUUGUGUAGCCUAAAGGUUAACCCUACUGAUCCAUAAGGCUUGCUGGAUGUUUCAUGAAUUUCUAAAUAUCUAGACUUCUCUCUGCACUUGUGCCUCUUUAUUAGAAAAACAUUAAAAGAUACAAUAUCAGAUAUGAAACCACAAAAGAUAUGCAAAUAUCUAAGCAUAACCUGGCAAGAGUUUAUUUAGUUUCUCAGAAACCUAAUUAUCACAGGAAAGGAAAUUGACAAUAGAGGACAGCUAUCGGCCAAUCAAACAACUGAAUAUCAAAUCGUGCAGCAACUUCCAUAAGCGUAAUGGAACGACACAGUUCAACGUAUUUCAGUAGGUAGUCUAAAGACGAGAACCCAGAUCGGCAAUAGUGACCAGGGUCCGGACGAUUGUUUAUCCAAAGCACAGCUCUGCGCAAAGCCGUGCGGCUGUGGAUGAGUAGAUAAAUCUAUUAUCUAUUCUAAAGGAAGGUUUUAAAGCUCCAAUUAUUGGCACUCGUCUCACUCUAGUGGGUUUGAUCUGGGUUUGUGAGAGGAAACUCUAUUUUAUGAAUUUUCCCUUUUCCUUGCCAUUCUAAGUUCUUUUAAUAUGAAGUACGAUCCAUUUUAGAUCUUUUUACCUUCAUAAAUUUGAUGCUAAUCUAAUUUAUUUUCACAUAAGUACAAGCGAUUAGAGGUUUGUUUAAUUUUGGGGGACAACGUUAGUUUCCUCUUUCUUAGAAUUUUUUUUUUCCAAAAAGUACAAAACCUAUUGUAUGUCAAUCAAUUUAAUUUUGAACUUUUUAAUUUUACCAAUUCAGUACUAAAACCUUUCGAUAACUUGCCAAUUCAAUUACAAACUUUUUAAUUAUAACAAUUUAGUCAUAAACAUUUUAAAGAUUUACCAAAUUAAUCAUAAAUAUUUUAAUGAAUUGACAAUUUAGUCAUUCUACAUAAUUUCAGCAAGAUAUUAUUAACAUAGCCGUUUAGGGGGUGCCUGACAACCAAUAAUUUCUGUUCCAUAAACAAUUUUUCUAUUCCAGACUUGUUUCUGGAAUAAAAUUCGUUUGGUAAAAUUAUUCCAUUUUUCUAUUUCUGAAAUAGAUUUUUGUUCCAGAAAUAGGUUUGGAAUAAAAAUCAAAAGUAAAAAUUUUAUACUUCUCCAUUUCUGGAAUAGAAAUGAGAAACAAAAAUUCUUCUCAUUGCGUCCUCCAUCCGUCGCCGUCAACCACCGUUAGUCGGUCACCGGUCGUCGCUGCUCGUCGCCGGUCGCUUGCCACCAGUCGCCGGUCGCCUGCCAACAGUCGUCGAUCACCGAUCGCUGAUUGCCGACCCACCAUCGUCCGCCGGUCUACUGCCGUCCGAAAUGAAGAAAUUUUUUAUUGUUAUCAAACGAAUUUCUAUUUUUGGAGUAUAAAUUUUAUAUCGUUAUCAAAUAGAUAUUUUUAUUUAGAAACUCAUCUUGAAAUAGAAAUAAAAUAAUUUAUUUAUUUUCCAAAAAUCAAUUUAUGGUCAUAAUGGUUAUCAUUCGUGCCCUCAGUCAACGCUAACUGUUCCAUGUGACAUUGACAUGAAUAAUUUUUUAAUUUUAAAAAAAAAUAUUUUUUUUUUAUUUUUUUAUCUUUUAUUUUUCUUAUUUUAUCUUUUACAAGAGAGAGAGAACCAGGAGGCCAUUGGCAACCUUGCUAGCCCCUGGGCGAAGGUCAUGGAGCCCUUGCGCCACCCCUCGUUGGCCAUGAUAAGGGAAGGUGAGGGCUGUGAUAUGCUCAUUGUGGCUUGCAAGAGCUUGGUGAAGGCCAUGAUGCCCUUGUCCAAUUUGGUGGGGGGAGGGCGUUGCAACCCUCGCUAGGCAUAGCGAGGGCUUAUGAGUCCUUGCCUAGAGGCCAAAGGAGUCAUUGGCCCUUGCUUAGUGGUGGGCGGCCUCCUAUCCUAACUGUUUUGGGCAAAAAAGAUGGACAAAAAAUAAAAUAAAAUUUUCAGAAUUUAAAAAAAAAAAAAUUAAAAGACUAUCCGUGUGAGGGUCAAUCUUACCACAUAAGACGGUUCGCAUUGAUUAAACCGUUACAUUAAUGAUGUAUGGCUAAAAUUAGUCAAAAUAACUAAAUUGACAAUUUGUUAAAAUGUUUAGAACUAUGAAAGUUUUAGGCACUUUCAAUGCGAAUUACGAUCAUCAAUUGCACAACAAUUAAGGCAUAGGACUGAUUAAGUAAUGAGAUUGACAGUUAUAACCGGUCUAAGAGUACCUGAAAUAGUCACUUCACAAGAUGGAGAACAUACAGUAGCUCAGGAACAGGGACGGUAACAAAGAGGAGGCAUCUUCCUUCGACUACUUUUUUAGCUCCGAUAUGUAUGCAAAUCGCAGUCCAUAAUUCUCGAGGAAAAAAACGAAACAUGGGAAGGAUGUAAGAGUUUUUCUAACUGUGGACUAUAUUAAUUGAUAUUGUAAUUUACCGUUUAACGUUUAUCGUUUUACGGGGUUUGGUCUAAGGUGAGAUAGUAGGUUUUUUAAUUAGUCUAAUAUGGGCUGGCUAGUGUGGGCCGAGUUGAGCCUGGCUCGUAAUGAGGGGGACUGGCUGGAAACUCUAUAAAUAGUGCUCAAGUCUCUCCUCUAACCCUAAUUCUCACAUAUAUCCUCACCUAAGAGGCGUUUACCUAACGCUACACGUGAGGAGGGGCCGCCUCAUUGAGCCAGUGAUUCAGAGGGCAAUAGAGGAGAAGGACUUGCGCGUGAAACAUUGUGUUUCCGCUUCCGCCGCUUCCGCUUCAAGAACAAUGGAUUCCAAAACAGGUGCGUCAAUUCUUUCUACUCAAUCAUGCAUGUUUUUGUUCUAGUUAUGGAGAUCUUGGGGUUUGCACAAUUUGCGUCUAACAUGUGGUAUCAGAGCCUCCAUAACCCUAGAACACGAACAUAAUUGAUUUUCCCAUAAUUUGUAUAGAUUAACACUAAUUAGUACGGAUCUUGCCCUAAUUUGUGAUUUUCGAGACUUUUAGUUCAAUAAAAUUAAAAUUAAAUCACAAAUUCGGACUGGGCUCGACGAGGCGAGCAAAACCGUGGGAGGCGCGUCGCCGGGGGAGGCCCCACGCGCCCCCACGCGCGGCCACGCGCCGCAGGGCGUCGAACACGCGCGGGGCGCUGACGUCACGAUGACGUCAGCGACCCGGACUCGAAUUCCGCACGCGCUGAUGUCAUGAUGACGUUAGCGACCCAGAUUCGAAUUUGACCCGACCCGACCCGUUGACCCGACCAACCUAUUGACUUGACCCGAACCGUUGACCUGACCCGACCCGGUCAGUCAUUGACCGUACCAGUCAACCGGUCGGACCGGUUUUGACCGGCCUUUGACGCCCGCGCGUGGGCUCCACGCGCCGCGCACUCAGGCGACGCGUGCGGGCGCGUGGAGGCUCCGAUUUGCGCGUGGCCGACGGCGAUGGACUCGUAUGAUUAUUUCCUACAUCAUGGUGUAUUUAUUUUAUAUUUUUAAUGAUUUUAUGGAUGUGAAAAUACAUGCAAAGCCCUAAAUACGUGCUUUUUAGUAUAUUUUUUGCGUAUUUUUCUUGUAUUUUUCUGUGAUUUAGAAAAUACAAGUGCCGGGAUACAGGUAUGUUAUCACAUAAACAUUAUAAAAGUGUGAUUCAUUAAUAAAAAUUAAACUUUAUUGUAUUUUAUUAAUGAAUAAGGCAAUGUAAUUAGCAUGGCAUGUGAUUUGAGUGAUAUACUGCCCCUAUCACUAAAAUUAAAUCACAUGUAUAUGAUGUAUGUGAGAUGUAAAGAUUAUAUCCCUACGAUGAGAGAGUUUCAAGGAUUCAAUUGAGUUGUGACCGCCAAAGUGGCACACUUGGUUGAGUUUGAGAAAUUUCGAUCUCGUAUAUUGAUUGGGAUGUCUCCCGGUCUAAUGCAUAGUCAUACUCCCAAAUGAGGUGAUUAUGUAUUAGUUCAUGGAGGGAUACAUGAUAGUGUGGUGGAGGAGUGACCGAUCCUAAUGGUUCAUAUACCCAAAGGUGAUGAAUUCACGAAGAUUGGAAUAUAUUCUCAUAACCCUUAUCAUGUGGGGAGUGUAUAAUGGCUUGUCAUGUAUUCUGCUCAAAGGUGAUUAUGUAAUUUUGCAUGUAACUCUCUGGAUGUGUACUUGUGCGUCAAGUUACACAAUGCUCACAUGAUGCUAAUUGUAUAUAUUGCUUGUCUUUUAGUCACCUUUUCUGUAAAUGGUAACUCUGUCACCAUUGAGGUUCUUGCUGGUUCGAAUUUUAAGAGAUGGAGAGAGGAUUUUCUGUUUGCUAUGGAAAUGGCAGAUGUUCAUAUGGCUCUUACUACUGAUCGGCCGGCAGUUUUGACUGCCGAGAGUACAGAGGCUUAAAAAGCAAAUUUUGCCGCCUGGGAAAAGAGCAAUAGAAUUUGCUUGCUAUCCAUGAAGCGUUCCAUUCAUGAACACUUGAAAAGUGGUUUGUCUGCAGACUGCAAUGCUAGGCAAAUGAUGGAAGCUUUGAUGGCUAGAAACCGUGUGUCGCCUAAUGCUGAGAUAGGGACACAUAUGCAAACACUUUUUACUAUGAAGUAUGAUGGUUCUGGUGGAGUUAGAGAUUAUGUUCUAAGGAUGGUUGAUUUGCAAACAAAGCUUCAGGUUCUCAAUGUUGAAAUUCCUACUGCUUGCAUUGUCCAUCAAGCUCUAAAUACUCUUCCUCCUGAUUUUGGGAUUAUUAAGACCAAUUAUAAUUUCCAAGAUGAAACAUGGUCUGUUAAUGACCUGAUUGCAAGGUUGGUGGCAGAGGAAGAGAAAUUAAAGAAAGAUAAAGGACAUAUUGCUCUUUAUGCUUCUAGUUCUGCUAGUGACAAGGGUAAGAAGGUGAAAACUUAUACCCAUAAAAGCAAUUCAGAAGUUGCCGGUCCUUCCAACAACAAAUGAAAUUCUAAAGGAGCAGGUCCUUCUAACACUCUGGGUCCUAAGAAGGCAAUCACCAAGAAGGAUGGUGUUCUUUGCUACUUUUGUAGGGAGAGAGGACACGUGAAGAAACGUUGUAGCAAGUUUAAGGCUUGGUUGUCUAAGAGAAAUAAGAGAGAGCCUAAAGGUAAUGAUUCUUUGGCAUUAGUUUAUGAAUCCAAUCUAUCUGAAGUUCCGACCAAUUCUUGGUGGCUAGAUAGUGGUGCAACUAAUCAUGUUGCAUUUACUAUAUAGGGGUUCAUAAACCGAAGGACGCCAACUCAGGAUCAAUCAAAGCUCACUGUUGGAAACAACGUUGGAGUUGACGUUGAGUUCGUGGGAGAUGUUAUUUUGAUUUUAGAUUCUGGUUUUCGGAUGGUGUUAAGAAACACUUUUUACAUACCUUCUUUUAAGCGGAAUUUAGUUUCUGUGUCUUGUUUGGACAUGUGUGGAUACUCUUUUGAAAUAAAGAGUAAUACUAUUUCCAUGUUUUUUGAUUCACAUAAGAUUGGGUGUUGCAAUUUAUCCGAUGGAUUAUAUCGAUUGAGCUUAUCUCCCAACAAAAUAUACGUUGCUUAUUCCGCUGAAAAGGUUGUUUCCAAAAGGCCUCUACCUAAGGAACAGUCUUAUGCAUUGUGGCAUAAACGUCUUGGUCACAUCUCUAAAGAUAGAGUAGAAAGGCUUAUAAAGGCUGAUAUCUUGCCUACUCUUAAAGAUGAUCAAGAGACUUGCGUAGACUGUUGCAGAGGUAAGAUGACUAAGAUAAAGAAGAAAUCUGCUGUACGAAGUUCAGACUUGUUGGAGGUUAUUCACACUGAUAUUAGUGGACCAUACACGGCUACUUUGUGUAGAAAUUUUUAUUUCAUCACAUUUAUUUACGACUAUUCCCGAUAUGGAUUGUUGACACCUAAAUUUUGGCGACCCGCUUAGUCAUUUAUUGCAUUAAAAAAUUAAGGGUUAAUUUUAUUCCGGAAAAAAUAGUUAAUUGCAUAGCAUAUAGUUUUAGGUGCAUUUGUUUCUUAAUUUGCAUUUACAUUGGGUCGGUGACAAAUGGGUUUGAUUUAGUAGUUCUAAGCUUUAAUUUGGCAGGUUGGACUAAGCCCACGAAGCAAGUAAAUUGGCCCGAGCCCGUUUUCUUUUAAUGACAAGAAUUACCUAAAUUGAGAUUUGAAAUAAUAUUACGGUGGAUUUUUGGAAUUUAAGAAAAUCGGGUUGCAAUCUUAUCUUUAGGUGAUAAAAUCAGAAGAUGUGGAAAAUAAAAGAAAAGUGAUAUUGCGUGUGAAAAAGAAAUCUUCACGGAUGCUGAUUUGAAAAGGAAAAUAAAACCCUAAUCUUCAGCCUAUAAAAAGGUUUUCGCGUAGGGUUUCAAUGGAGGCCACACACAUUGAAUAUACGGCCACAAUAUAGAGAAAAAACACAUGUGAGAGAGAGGAAUGUUCGGCCAAGCAUCACGUGGCUGCAACCUUGCUAACCCCACGGCUGAGCUUCAUAUCGCGUGCACCAUGAGACGGUGACCAUUGCCGCGCCUCCUCGUCAACAACGAAGCUGUGAAGCCUUGCUCGAGCUGCUGUCCCGACGUGCCCCGAGCUCUACCCUCAUCGUUGAGUUCCAGCAGUCCCAGGAGAGGUUCUUUUGCCGAAAGUAUUCAAGUUGAAUAUUAUCCAGUCAAAGAAGACAAUUCUGCAGAAGAUCCAUUCUCUGACUUGCAAAAGAUGUCAGAGCCAACGUGGUGAAGUCCGAACUCCAAAUUCAGUCGUGUGGGCAAAAAGGAUCAAUCCACAAUUCGACGCGUUCACUCAUCAUCAAAGGCCACCUGUUCUGCCUCGCCUACAAGUCAUCCCAUACAACGUUCCUGAUUCAAGCAGCCACGAUCCUGUCGUUGCCAAUUGCCCACAAUCGCCGAUCCAGAGAGGACAAGAGAGUGACCAAAAGCAUAAAAAAAAAAGAAAAAGAGAAGCCUUUGAAGCGGUGCUCUUUGUCUGGAGUGGUCCAAGGCGAGAGAAGCAGAGGAAGCUUUUUGCCAAAAAGACAAGAAAGGGGAAGCCGAUCCUUCAUCAAUAUCACAUAUUUGCAUUCCACUAACAUUCUUUUCUUAAUUCUUUUUUUCAGGUUCUGCCCACAUCCUCGUCAUUGUAGAAAACGCCAAGGAGAGACCCCACAUUUGAGUAUUAACAAAUCCCAAGAGGCUUCACGGAGAUCCUCAAUGCGAGCCCCAGUCUCGGUAAAUUACGUCCACCGUGGGUCAACAAUCGCAAGCCGAGCAAACCUGCUUUGCCGUCCUUGUCCUUUGCUGUCGACGUGCCUCAACGAAUUGAAGACAUUGAUGAGCCACUUGUGAUCCACCACGAGACAACUUGUUCUCCUAACGCCGUGCCGAGCCUAUCGCGAGUUCAUCCAUGAGCCGGGCCAUCCCGUAAAAGUUCUGCCUUUGUAGGUUCAUUGGCCAUAAACUGCCCAUCGCUGUCCCACCCGAAGCGCCGGUUGCAGUCCCGGUCCAAUUGCGCAAAGUCCAAAUUGGAAAUUAAUAUUCGGAAUAGGUAAAAAUUUUGAUUAUUUUAAUUUCCGAAAAUUCCGUUUCCUUAUUUGAUAUGUUUGUUGAUGCACAUGACCGAUAUUCGCAACUCGAGUAGUCUUCUAAAUUAGGAAAUCUUCCUAAUUCCGCAACGUGCAUAUGAUUGAUGGUCCGAUUUCAUGCUCGAAAUACGACCCGCAAUCGCACGGAAAAAUCACCAAUCCGAUCUCACGCUCGAGAUACGAUUCGUGAUUUUUAUUUAAAAAUUGACCGAUCCGAUCUCAUGCGCGAGAUACGAUUCGUCAAUUUAUUUCCAAAAUUAAAUGGACAUGGAUGAUAUCUUGCUUGAUUUGUUGUAGUGCUAUUCUCGAUGCCUUUAUUUGAUUGCUCCCGUAAGGGAAAAACCCAAAAAAAAAUAAUUGAGUUAGGUUAAAUGCAUGUUAGGAUGUUACUGGUUUUAAUGUUAUGUUGCAUGUUUAGGAUAGGAAAUUUAUUUCGAAUUUCUUAAAUAAAAAGACCAAAAACAUUAAUUUAGGAUAUCAUAUUUUCUUCUCAUUAAUUUAAAUUGCACGUUUAAUUAUUUGGCAAUUUUAAAUUUCGAAUUUCAUAAAAAAUUUAGAAUUAGGGCAUUUUUGCACGUCAUUGCAUAUUAUAAUAGAUUGCAUACUUAUUAGGAAAAUAAAAAUCAUGUGCACGUUUUAUAGAAUUAGGUUCAUACUAUGCACAUCAUUUAGUGAUUUUUGCUAGGCCCAUUUAAUUAGAAAUUACAUGUCAUUAGAAUUAGGUCAUUUAGUUAAUAUUGCAUUGUAUAUUGCAUGAUUUUCAUUAAUUAAGUGAAAACAAAACAAAAAUUGCGUGUUAAUUAGAAACCAUAUCUAGGGUUGUUGAUAUGGAUUUUAAUUUAACAUUGCAUAUGCUUUCGUUGCUUUGAGGUAAGUCCUGCAAUUUAUUCAUUGCUUUUCUUGGGUGUAAAUUAGUGGUUUGCGCACCCGCAUGAUCACCUCACAUGUUAGGAAAAUAAAUUUAAAAUCAAUCCAAACUGCUUGCCAAACAUUUUUCAAAAUAAAAAGAAAGGUACCGAAAGGGCGUUAGAGAAAUCUAGCGUAAUCAAGUCCCCGAAUCCAUAAAUCUCUGGUUCGUAGGAGUAAAGUAAAUCUCCCAUUACUUUACUUGGGUUUCUAAUCGACCUACCAAAAAUAGAUUAGUGGCGACUCCUAAUUAAAACAAUUGCAUGUUAAGAACUUGAACCGAAAGUCGCGAAUUGGUAUGGGUUUGGGAGAGCCCGAGUUAAGUCUAGGCUUAACAAUCCAUUAGCCAAAACCCUAGGUGGUUCACACCCGAAAAAAAUUGGUCGCGACAUGGAUACUUAUACUUGAUUAAAGAAAAGUCCGAGUCUCUUGAUAAAUUCAAGAUUUUUCGGACUGAAGUGGAGAAACAGUUGGGAAAAGUUAUUAAGAUUUUCAGAUCUGAUCGUGGUGGUGAGUAUUUUGGUAGGCACGGUGAUGCUGGUCAACUUAAAGGGCGGUUUACUAAAUAUUUAGAGGAUUCUGGGAUAAUAGGUCAGUUUACUAUGCCCGGAAGUCCUGAACAAAAUGGUGUAGCUGAAAGGCGGAAUCGUACUCUUAUGGACAUGAUGAGAAGUAUGAUUAGUAGGACCAAUUUACCUAAUUUUCUAUGGGGAGAAGCUUUGAAAACAGCUCUUUAUAUUCUAAAUCGUGUUCCUACUAAAGCAGUUCCAUUGACCCCUUUUGAGUUGUGGACUGGGCGUAAACCUAGCUUGAAUCAUCUUAGAGUUUGAGGAUGUCCAACAGAAGUGAAGUUAUAUAAUCCAACAUUGAGUAAACUGGAUUCCAAAACUACUCGAUGUUACUUCGUGUUUUACCCAGACCAUUCAAAGGGGUAUCGCUUUUAUAACCCUAAUGGAGGUACAAGAAUUGUGGAAUCUCAGACUGCAAAAUUUCUAGAAUUUGAUGUAUCGGAAAAGGGUAGUUGCUCACAAGCUAUCGAAGAUGAUAGUAUGGUGGGGAUUACUGGAUCUCUGUCUCAUCCUAUGCAGACAAUUAUGGAGCCUCUUACGCCACAAGCUGAGCCUAUUGUGGCACAUGAUCCUAUUGUUGAGACAGUUCCUGAUGAAAUUCCUCAAACCCCUCAAAUUCAGAAUGAGGUUGACGUAGCUCCACUCAGAAGAUCAACUAGAGAAAGAUGUUCAGCUAUACCACCAGACUAUCUAGUCUACCUGGGAGAGCAUGAUUAUGACAUAGGCUGUGUUGUUGAUCCCGUGACUUAUACUGAAGCCAUCUCAUGUCCUCAAUCAGAUUUGUGAUUAGAUGCGAUGAAAGAUGAGAUGCAAUCUAUGAAACAUAAUGGUGUUUGGGAGCUUGUUGAAUUGCCUGAAGGUUGUAAACCUAUUGGCUGCAAAUGGGUAUUCAAGACUAAAAGAGAUUCCAAAGGAAAGAUUGAAAAGUUUAAAGCCAGACUGGUAGCUAACGGUUUUACUCAAAGAGAAGGAAUAGAUUAUGAAGCAACAUUUUCUCCAGUUUCUUCUAAAGAUUCCUUUAGAGUGAUCUUAGCAUUGGUAGCUUAUUACGAUAUGGAGUUACACCAGAUGGAUGUUAAGACUGCUUUUCUAAAUUGAGACCUUGAUGAGGAGGUUUAUAUGGUGCAGCCUGAAGGUUUUGUAGCAGAUGACUCAGGUCAACUUGUUUGUAGAUUGAAAAAGUCUAUUUAUGGCCUUAAGCGAGCUUCUAGACAGUGGUAUUUCAAGUUUCAUAGUGUUGUUACUUCAUUUGGAUUUAUUGAGAACAAAGUAGAUCAGUGCAUAUACACCAAGGUCAGUGGGAGGAAAUAUAUUUUUCUCAUACUUUAUGUAGAUGAUAUCUUGCUUGCUAGUAGUGACAUUGGUUUACUGCAUGAGACAAAGCGGAUGUUAUCGAAAAUUUUUGACAUGAAAGACCUUGGUGAGGCGGCUUUUGUUCUUAGCAUUGAGAUCCAUAGGGAUCGCUCACGCCGUUCAUUGGGUUUAUCUCAGAGGGCGUAUAUUGAUCGCAUUUUAGAAAGAUUCAAUAUGCAGGAUUGCAAACCAGGAAUUGCUCCUGUUGUUAAGGGUGAUAAAUUGAGUCUUUCACAAUGCUCUAAUUCAGAUUUUGAGAAAGCUCAAAUGAAGGAUGUACCUUAUGCUAGUGUGCUUGGAAGCAUCAUGUAUGCUCAAGUUUGCACUAGGCCAGAUAUUGCUUUUGCAACAGGGCUUCUAGGCAGAUAUCAGUCUAAUCUAGGACGCGAUCACUGGGUUGCUGCCAAGAAGGUUUUAAGGUACUUAAAAAGAACAAAAGAUUAUAUGCUGAUUUAUAAAUAUGUUCCAGACCUACAACUAGUAGGGUAUUCAGAUGCAGAUUUUGCUGGUUGUCAAGAUGAUAAGAAAUCAACGACUGGAUACAUAUUUAUGUUGGCAGGAGGUGCAGUAUCAUGGAAGAGCGAGAAACAGAAAUCCAUAUAUUCUUCGACCAUGCAAGCGGAGUUUGUAGCAUGUUUUUCAGCUGCUACUCAAGCUAUUUGGCUCCGGAACCUCAUUAGAGAGUUAUUAGUUUAUGGUUUUGUGGAUAGACCCAUACAGUUAUAUUGUGACAAUAACUCUGCAGUGUUGUUUAUUAAUAACAACAGAAAUUUAAAGGGGUCUAAACACAUGGAGGUCAAGUUUUUUACUAUAAAAGAAUCAGUACAGAAUGGUGACGUUGCAAUAGAUUAUAUUCAUACAGAUAAUAUGGUUGCAGACCCACUAACUAAAGGCCUACGCCCGUGUGUUUUUUAUCGACAUGUCAUUAGUAUGGGCCUAUGAGCAUCUUGGGAUGCUGUUAUUUAGUGGGAGCUAUGUUUUUAUUUUUCUUUGAAUAAAGUUUACAUCUGUUUUGUUACAAUUUAGUAACACUUUGAUAUAUAUAUGUCAACUUUUGCAUUCAAUAAAAUAUUUUGAAUGGAUUGUUAUUAUGUUGAAUAUAUAUAUUGUUAAAAGUCUCAAGGUAUUACUUAAACCUUGAGUGAAUGCUAGGGGCAUCCGGUUAUUAGCCUUGUGCAUAUGUCUUGUGAUACAUAAAGAAAGGUUAACCGUAAGGAUAAGACAUAUGUGGGUUCAUUGGAACCAUAAAGCAUUCUCUAGUGGCACAAGUUUUUGUGAUGCCUAAAGUUAAGAGAAUGGUGACUGACAAAUGGGGUCUCUCUAUGAGAGAUGUUAUCCAUUUGCCACACUACCAUAUUGAAUCCAUAUCAAUAAAGUUGAGAACACUUGUGACCAUGGAAGGCUCUAUGUGUAUACAUGCAGUUACCGCCAUGAUUCGGUGUUUGAGACUUUAUGGGAUAGGAUUGACUAUUAAGAAUUAUCUUUGGACCAAUGUGCGCACAUACAAUACAAUUUCAAUUAAUAUAGUCCAAGUGGGAGAAUGUAAGAGUUUUUCUAAUUGUGGACUACAUUAAUUGAUAUUGUAAUUUACCGUUUAACGUUUAUCGUUUUACGGGGCUUGGUCUAAGGUGAGAUAGUAGGUUUCUUAAUUAGUCUAAUAUGGGCUGGCUAGUGUGGGCCGAGUUAAGCCUGGCUCGUAAUGAGGGGGACUAGCUGGAAACUCUAUAAAUAGUGCUCAAGUCUCUCCUCUAACUCUAAUUCUCACAUAUAUCCUCACCUAAGGGGCGUUUACCUAAUGCUACACGUGAGGAGGGGCCGCCUUAUUGAGCCAGUGAUUCAGAGGGCAAUAGAGGAGAAUGACUUGCGCGUGGAACAUUGUGUUUCCGCUUCCGCUGCUUCCGCUUCAAGAACAAUGGAUUCCAAAACAGGUGCAUCAAUUCUUUCUACUCAAUCAUGCAUGUUUUUGUUCUAGUUAUGGAGAUCUUGGGGUUUGCACAAUUUGCGUCUAACAAAGGAUUCCGAAGAACAUCCAAAAACCUGAAAUGUACUCAUGGACCUGACCAGAACCUCAGCACCACAUCAGCCAGCAUGCCUUUCUUAUAUGCGACAUGGUCGCCCAGCAGUGCAAGAUGAGGAGAAGACUCCACGAAGUGUCCUCUCAGAACAUAGAACUAUAAGAAAACACAUAAGUCCCUUACGUGCAUAGGAUCGCAAACAAAGAUAGCAAAUUCCAACAGCCACAUAGCAGGAAGGAAACGGGGGUCUAGCAAGAGCAGAAGCACAUUCCCCUACUCUUCGCCCCUCGCGUUCUUGCUUUCCAAGAUGAAGGCACACAACUUACGUGGGUCGGUGAGAGCUUUGGACACGCUCUCCUUCGCCAUGCAUCUCUUGCCCCACGCGGCGAGCUCGGGGCAUUCGGCUUCGAUGCUGAAGUUCCCACAUGUCCCGUAGGCCGCGAGAGAGGCCACCAUGGCCCUCGCAUAAGUCUGAUGAGGCCCUUUGCGCCCUUGUUCACUAUGGCCAUCUCGCCCACGGCCGACGGGGCUAUAAAGGCCCUUGCCUAGGGCCUUUGCAACCUAGUUGCUGGCAAGGGUUGUUGGGACCACAAAGAAAAAAUAUAUAUCUUUUAUAAAAAAAUUAUGAAAAUUGUUUGUGCCAAUACUAACUACGUCGCACUGGAAGAUUGACAUUCUUUUUUAGUGAUUUCUGGUUAAAAUUAACCAAAAGUACUAAAUUGGUAAAUUAUCAAAAUAUUUAGAAUUAAAUUAGAUAAAUUAAAAUUUAUAGAUUAAAUUGGCACAAAUGCAAUAAAUUGAUGGCACUUUCAAAAAAAAAUGAAAAACCAUACAAAGAAUCAAUGAUAGUGAAUGACGAUGACGAUGACGACUUAAGCCAGAUGAUCUUUCUUCGCAUUCAGCAUGAGAUGUAAAUAGCUAAAAACGAUAGCUCCAUUAUGAAGGCGCGUAAAUGUCAACAGACUGAAGAAUCAUUGACGAAUUAGACGACUAUAAAAAAAAACAGAGGAACUAGUAAUACCUUCUUGUAGACCAAAUCGGCCCAGAAUCUGGCUCGGGCUCGUUCGUAUGGAUCGGAUGGCAAGAGAAGGGGCCUUGUGGCUCCAGGUCUCAUCGUUGUACGCUCCACAAUGACGAGGGACUCGCAGACGGGCUUGCCGUUGUGGAUGAGGACGGGGAUUUUCUUGUGAAUCGGAUUCAGCUGGAGGAGGAGCUCGCUCUUGUUCACCGAGUGCUCCUCCUUGGACUUGUGCUCGGCCCCUUUCUCGGCCAGCGCUGCUCGGCACCUCAUCCCGUACAUGCUCGCGCAGACGUCCAGGAGGGUCACUUCUUCAUCGGCCUUUUCCUUCAAGGUCGUGUGCUUGGCCCUUGAGAAUCGGAGGAGAGGAUUAUCGAAGUGUUGAGGGGUGAAUACUAGUUACUGUUGAGCGAGCGGUCCACCCAAGAGAGCUGAGUAAUAUUUCCAAACAAACAACACAAGUCGCGGACGGUGUAUAGGACAUAUCGUUUCUCAGCAUAUCUCUUCGAAAUUGGAGGAAGCAUUUUGCGCGAAUGGUAAUUAGUCAAUCAUAAAAUUCUUGUUUCUCAUUAAAAUAGAUAGCUGUGCUUGAAAUUUCAAUACAUUUCCUCACUUUUUGACGACACGGAAUGCAUCGGCUAUGUAAGAUGCUUUCUUACGCAAACGCACGAAUACAUAUGGUUUUCUAUGUCAUUGAAACUUCAACUUUUAUCGUCGUGAAUUUCAAUCUUAAUUCAACAAGGAUCCAUGUAUUUUAAGUCACCCGGGCUGACAUCUUUAAAAUGAUGAAAAGGUAACUAAAUAAUAAACUUGAAAAUAAGAGGGACAAGCAUCCAAAAGAAUCUAUGCAAGUUCGAUGGGAGUGAUCGGCUCUAUAUCUAGAACCUGAAACUUACCAUGUUAAAAUCAAUUCCUAAUUUUUGAAACUUGAAAUUUAUCCCAUUUACCUUGAAAUCAAAAAAUUACAAACCGGUAUAUUUGUGAUAAACGGAAAACAAAACCCCAAACCGAUACAAUGAUCAACUGUUAUAUGUUAUCAAACUCAAUAAUUUAAAGGUUAAAUUUAAUGAAAACUAACAUAUCGUAAAUUUGUUAAAGGUGUGCUGGUUUAGGAUUUUUUGUUGUCAAAAAAUUAAUUUUGAAUAAAUUUGUCAUAAAUAUAUUAAUUUUGGGUUUUUCGUAAUAUUAACCCUUUUUAUUAUUUUCUUAUCUAGGUUACUCAUUUAAUUAUUAACCUGGAAAAAUGGUUAAUGAUUUAAUUACAUGUGAGAAGCAUCAAGCAAUUUAUAAUGAUUUUGACUUGGCCUUUCAAGUCAUUAUUUUAAGUUGACGCUUUUGGUUUUCUUGCUUCAAUUGUAGCCAAGAUCUGAUGAAAUUCACUUUAAUCGGGCAUAGCAACAUCGCUGCAUUUAUAUCAUCUCUUGCAAUGAAAUUCAUCCACACCGCAAAACUUAAUGAGAUUCAUAUUCAUCUACUUUACACACGAGAGACCUUAAAAAUUCAAUAGAUUCAUACCGAGUGCACUCGACUUAGUUAGCGAUUUUUUAUCCCUUGGACGGACGACAACUUUCACUUCCACGAAAACCACGCCCCCCGGCGUGUCAUUAGAGUGCGACCGCAUUAUCCACACAGCUCAUGAUCAGCCUUCGCAAUUUACACGUCGGCAAUGCAUUGCGAUGGGACAGCACACCUUUUUGCAGAAAGAUGCAACUCUCGAGAGCAGAGGAAAGAGCACGUGAUAUCACUCAAAAAGGGAUCCCAGCUCGCUUGCCCCCACACUGCUCAGCCUUCACUUGUUUUGGUCGGCAGACAGUGAUAGCGUCGGUGAAGCGGAAAACGACCAUAUGGUCGUGCAUCCUCAGUAGACACAGUCAAUUCAAUGCGAAUUAAUUGCAAAAAGUAAGGACAGCGUAUACGGCUGCUCGAACUUUUUAACGCUCUUGAUAGCGAUCGCCACACCCUCCCCUCUAUAUUUGGUUCGCGGGUCUAAUCGUUUUUUGGGACAUCAGUUCAUACUCGACCUUUCAAAGAACAUGGAGAAGGCGCAAGCCAUGAGAUUUGCAGUCGAAUUUGCGCCGAGCAAACUUGUCUCGGCCAGAAGGUGUCCGCCGCUGAUUCAAUUGCUUGAGACGAUUGCAGAGGAAGAGACUGAUGAUCUGGAAACUACUACUACUCUUCUGCUUCCGAUGUAUCUUCCUCCUCAUAAUGCCAUUAAUACGGACUGAGAAACUGUUGUUGAAGAGGAAGCAAGGAGAUCCUGCAGGCCAUGAGUACAUUCUGGUUUUAUCGCCACGGGUGGGCUCAAGCAGUUUAGAUGUAUUCCGUAAAGCAUGUGUAGGAAUCUUUACCAAAUCAUGUUGUGUCAUGCGGACCUCAGGUCCACCUUUCUUUUCUUAUUGAGAGUAGUAUAUGUCGCAUUGCCUCUCAAAUGCAGCUAGUGACAGUGAGUAAUGUGUCCUGGCUGCUGAAAUAUUUAGGCACCUUCAAUGGCAACUACAAUCAUCAAUUGGCUAACAACCAAGUGUUAGGGCAGAUUAAGGGAUGAUGGUUAUAAGUGGUCUAAGAGUAUCCGGAAAAGUCACUCCCCAAGGUGGAGAACCUAAAGUACUUCAGGACUAAGGACAGUUACAAAGAGUAGUCUUCGUCCUUCCCCAGCUCUUUCAGCUUCGAUGAGCAUUCAAAUUGCAGUCCAUAAUUCUCAAAAAACGAAAGAAAAUAAGAACACGGGAAGGAUUUCGAAGAACGAUUGAAAACCAGAAUGUACUCAUGACCUGAUCAGAAUUGCUACCUGAACAUGGCAUGAGGUAGAAUGCCUUACUAUGCCAUAUGAUCGCCCAGUAGUACGAGAUGAAGAGAAGACACAACGAAGUGUCCUCUCAGAUUACAGAAUUCUUAAGGAAACAAAGAAGCCCGUUGCGAGUACAAGAGGAUUACUAACAAGGAUAGCAAAUGCAGACAGCCACACCAGGGAGAAAAACAGGGCCUAGCAAAAGCAGAAGCAGCGUCCCCUACUCUAUGCCCUUUGCUUUCUUGAGCUCCAAGACGAAGCCAUGCACCUUUUGAGGGUCGGGGAGCGAUUUGGACACGCUCUCCUUCUCCAUGCACCUUUUGCCCCACGCAAUGAGCUUGGGACACUCCGCUUCGAUGCUGAAGUUUCCGCACAUCUCGUAGGAGUAGAACUUCCAAGAACCCGAACUUCUUGCCCCCAAAGAAAGGCUCGUUUCCUAGCUCACUUUCCAGUAGUUUUAGGCUGUGGAUGAAUUCCUUCUUGGCCGCCUCCUGUUCUUCCCCUUUCGUCGUCAGCACCUUCCACCCUUGACCAUAGAACUGCAAAAUCGUAGAUCGGUCCCAGAUCAGAAAGUCAUCAGAAUCAUCACAAGCUUUCUCCUAGUAAAAGCACUUCGUGCUUCAGUAUUAUACGUGCAACAUCAGUCAACUUCCCACAUUAACAAACGCACACGACGAUGAAACCACGGGGACUAAUACCUUCUUGUCGAUGAAAUCAGCCCAGAAUCUGGAUCGGGCUCGUUCGUAAGGAUCGGAUGGCAAGAGAGGGGCCUUGUGGCUCCAGGUCUGGUCGACAAACUCCACAAUGACGAGAGACUCGCACACAGGCUUGCCGUUGUGGAUGAGGACCGGGAUUUUCUUGUGGACCGGGUUCAUCUGAAGGAGAAGCUCCCCCUUGUUCCACAGGCCCUCUUCCUUGUACUCGUACACGACCCCUUUCUCGGCCAGCGCUACGCGGCACCUUAUCCCGAACAUGCUGGGCCAGAAGUCCAGGAGGAUCACUUCAUCGGCCAUUGCCUUCAAAGUCUCUCUGUGUGUUUGUGACCCUUGAGAAUCGAAGCAGAGCAAUUUCGAAGUGUUAAAAUGGGGUGAAUAAUAGCAACUGUUGAGCCAGCACUCGACCCUAGAGAAUCGAGGAGUAUUGUAAAUUAAAAAAGAACGUUACGUCAAAACUCCAUAGCAUCGGCGUACUCCUUUGUUCUGGGGGUGCGACGGCAUAUACAAAGUUUCUCAGCAUAUUUCCGUUACGCAAUAUUUAUAUCACAUCAAUGAUGAACUAAAUUGAUACAAUUACAAAAUGUUUAGAACUAAAUUAAAAAUUACAAUAGAUUUAAGACUAUUUUGGUAAUCAUUCCCAUAAAAAUACAAUUCUUUUUUGUUGACAAUAAUAUAUUAAACAUAUUUAAUUUCAAUAUAUGCAUUUUGUUUUUAAAAAACAAAGAGUCAAAGAAUUUACUUCGGUUUAUGGGUAAACCAAUCCCAAAAUGGAUUCGAUUUCAGAUUCCAACUUCCACCUUAGAAUCAAUCUUGCAGGUUUCACGCUCUAUCCUCAAAGGAUAUUUCAUCAAUACUUUUCAGUGAUAUAUCCCUUUGGCACACCCAGUGGGAUAUUUUGUUGAUUCAAAGAGACUAUGGUGACAAGAACCAAAAAAUAACUAGAGUUCGACAAUACUGCUAGCAACAACUCAUUAAACUAGGGGAUAAGGACAACAUAAAUUACUUUUAGUAGACCGAUUUCAAGCUCCCAGUCCUCACUUAAACAAUGUCCCUGGGAUUGACGUUGUAUACCCUUUUCCAUUACGGUGACUGGCAAUAUUAUGGAAGCCUAAAGUGACUACUGAACCGCCAUCGCAAUCAUGAAUAAGUGGAGUGACUAGCCGGAUGCUCAAUUCUUGAUGAAGAUGAUGUACUCCCGAAAUGCAGUUGAAACUACAAAGAUCAGGGUCGCGUCCGUGGCUCGUAGAGAGCCUUUUAUGUAUCACAUACAAAGAGUAUAAGGGCAGCUGAUCAAACGACAGUCAGCUGAUGAAUCCAGCGCAGAAGGCUACUCCGUAACAUUGUGCCAACUUUCCGAGAGAGCAAUUACAGUGCAGAGGAAAAGCAAAAAUUAAGAAUGGACUGCAUUUUCAGAAAUUAUCAUAACGGAUCACUCGAAGAACAAAAAGGAACAUUUGGUUUGGGAAAACGACUAAAUAAAUGACCUUCCUUCAAAUUUAAUCUAUCAGAAGAGAUUUUACAUCGCAUCGUUUGGACAGUGCUUGCUGACACAGAAACAAUGAUACAGUUCUCAUGAUAAGGUAACAUUUUUACAAGUUAAACCAGGCUAACGGCCUGACAAAAACGUUGAUUUGUAAAGUUAAAGGGAACAGAUCCCAUACCAAUUGGCUGGACCCUACCGCUGAAACCUCCUCCUCUGGAUUGCCCAAUGCUGUAAAUCGUAUCUGAUAAGCUAGGUCUGCCCAAGACCUCCCAUGCUUCCACCUUGAAUCACGUAAAUACAGUCGACCAAAUGUCUGUUCUCCACAGGUGGAACUUGUGCCAGAAAGCCUUGACCCUACAUAAUGGCAAGGGCAAUUGGUGAUAUUCUGUAACAUGAUGCCUAGCAACAACUCGUACAACAGUGUGCAUAUGCGUUCCUAUAAUUUGAUUCCAACGUCUUCCAAAGCAGCUGUCAUUGAAGCAGAUGCUUCUUCAAGGGUCCGUCUCUUCUCAACUGUGUUAAAGGCCUCCACAAUAUCUCCCUCCUCCCAAUCAUCAUAGUCUUCCAUCCCAAUACCACAUUCUAGUCCUGUACCAACCUAUACGAGAAAGUGAUCAAAUUACGCAACGUUCAGUUCUGUGCAUCACAAUUAAGAGACGAGACAAAACCAGAUGGUCCCUAAACAAAGAGUUCUAACUUCUGUGAAUGAAUUGCUAUUAAGAGAGUAGCAACUCUUCUGGGGAUUAAGGGUUGGACACUUUUACUCUCAAAGGAACCAGUUCAAUCAAGGGCAAGAAGAUGAUCCAACGGUGGUCAAGAAAUAUAUUAAAAUCAAAAGGAUGCCAUGAGUGAAAACUAAAAGAUAACUAAUCCAUGGACGGAUAAGGCUACGCAACAAGAACCAAACAAUUGUCAUGCUCAGACAAUAAGCUAUCAUCACUUUGCUCAGUUUUCCUCUCCCCUCAUACUGCAGGAUGCGUACAAGUGUCUAAAUAUAAAUCCUUAUAAACAAGAUUCUUUUUCCAGUACAUCACAACUUAUACCUUAAAAUAUCAGAAUAAUUGAAUUAUACUCGAUGAGCUCUACUAGUGUCGCUACCAUUUUUCAUCACGCUAGUAAAUAUAAUUCUUCAAAUUGUAUCUUACCCCUAUUCCUCACAUUAAAGCAAUAACACAUGCCUUCCAUCAAGGAAAUGAUAAGCAUUCUAUACACAAAGCUUGUUUCCACUAAAAGGUAAGUCUAAUUCCAGCAGAGCUCAUGAAAGAGCACGUAGACCAUAUAGAAAGUCAUGCAAAAAAAAUGUGCAUAGAGUCGGAUUAUUACGACACAAAGCAAAAUAUGACUUAGCAAAAAGGUCCAAUCAAUAACAUCUUUUAGCCAUACCUCUUUCACAAUUUCCUUGACCCGUCUCAAAGAAUCCAGAAUACCAACAUAUGCAGUUUUCCCCUUUCGAACAACUCGUAUACCACAGCCCUUCACCACCUUCCCCUCUGUAACCAUGCAUCCAGCAACCCGACCACUGCCACUGCUAAAUAUUGCUCGCACUUCAGCAGAACCAAUCAUUUCUUGUUCCUACACAUAUUAAUAAAAGAACAUAGAAUGAAUAAUCCGAAACAGAUAUUCUGGCAAUAUUAAGCGUCAAAGCAAUAGUUUCCGACUGAGCCCGAUUGGACUCAGCAUCAGCACCUAUCAACUAGAAUUGUACAGGUGUGCACCUGAUAGAAGUCAUUAUUAGGUAUCCCCACAAGGAUUUUCAGAGAAGAAGAAAAUCAUGUAGCUUUGGCAGGGUUAGCUGGACUUGAGCUCUAAUUAAGACAGAGACUCUAUUCUAAGAAGCAUCUCAAACACUGUAUCGCUCUGAAAGCACUGAUAAGUGGUCUCUCGGGUAGGAGCAGAUAUGCAGAGUCAAUCAAGUCAAAAUCAAGUGAUACAAGAUUAUGCCGCGGCCUCACAGAGGAAUUUUCAAAAGUGUUUUAGAAACUAACCUCCACCGACUCGAGAAGUCCUUCCAUUGCAUUACGUACGUCGUCAAUGAGUUCGUAGAUUACUCUAUACAGACGAAUCUCAACACCUUUAUUGUCUGCGUAGCUCUUUACCGAACCUGGUGCCUUAACAUUGAAUCCAACGAUUAUGGCUUUACUAGCAACUGCAAGAUCAACGUCACUAGUACUAAUAUCCCCGGGCGCUUGCAACAGAAAUUUUAAAGUGACAUUAACUUGCGGAAGCACUUGCAAGGCUUGUCUUAUGACCUCGAUGGAUCCAUGGGCAUGAAAAAGAUCCUUCAGUUCCACAGAAACUAGGAAGAAGAAUUCGAUGCAAUAAAAUAUAACAUGAAAAACAAAAUAACCAACUACCCUCCAACGCAUGAAUUUGAAGCAUGUUAUGUGCAUACCUGAACAUCAACCUUCAUGAUAAUAUUCAGCUGGUGCAAGUCCAGACCAGAAAGCUUUCCUGAUGAAACUGCAGAGGCUAAAGAAGAAAGUGUGACCUUCACAUCACCGGCCUUGGCUGAAAUACGUUCAUUUCGCAAAGACUCUACGCGCGCUUCUGCCUUUUCCCGUGCCGUAUCAAGGGACCCAACAACCUCAAACUCAUCACCAGCAAUUGGAAUGUUAUUCAGUCCAAUUACCUGCCAUGAUUAUAUCACAACCAGCAAAUUAUAUGUGGUGCACUGUAGAAUUUAAGGAAUACAAGACAUGGAAAAUGAACAAAAUCAUUAUAUCCUACAUGGCCACAAUUUCAGUCUAGGUUAUCUACGGGAAUAAGAACAUCUCUGCUUCCCGCUCAUCAUGCAACAAAUGCAUGCUAGUAGUCAGAGCAUGUGACUGCUUUCAUAACAUUUCUAAUCUGGUUUUUCUUUCUAAAUGAUAGUGACUUCUCCAAAACAUGGAUAAUAUAAGAGAAAGAUGUCAGGGGAUGAUUCCCGGUACAUCAUAGUAGCAUCAUGUGUGACAGAUCAUAACAUAAACAUGCCUUAAGCCAAUUUUAACUCCAACUGCAUGUAGGGAAUAUAAAUAUUCUUCGCACUGCAUAACUUGUUUGCAUAUCCAAGACUUAAGGGCUUUUCAUGUGUUACAGAUAUGAAGCCAUAGUAGAAACUCUCAAUGCAGGAAUAUUUGGAUUAAGACCUUAUUCAGGUUUAAAAGAAAUUGCACAUUGCCCAGGUAUUGAGUAUGCCAUUGCACAACUUCUGAACUCAUGAAUGAGAAAGUAUAUUUGCAUAUAGCCUUGCCAAGGAAACAUCUGCUAACGUAUUUGGCCUAAGGAAAAUUUAGAGAUGUUCAUCAAGCGUGGCAAGACCGUGUCAAUGACUUAUCAAUGGAUGAUAAAUCAAAAUUAAGGUUAAUUAGGUAGAAACCCCCAUCAACUGAUGUCACUAGGAGGUGCUGUAAAAUCGUAUCCAAAGUAUCAUUAUGCCUAAGGGAAUAACAACAUAGUCAAAGAAGCACCAACCUGUACAGGGAUGGAGGGUCCAGCUUCUAGGACUUGCUUGCCAUUCUCAUCAAAUAGUGCCCUAACCUGACCACAGAACAACCUUUCAAGCAUUACUAAAUGACAGAGCAAUCUAAAAAUAAAAUAUUGAGAAACUGUCUUCUCAAGUUGCACUGUGCAUAUAUUAAGUUUAACAGGAACUGCUGAGAGUUCAUUUGACGCAGCAACCUUUCCAAAAGCUCCUCCGCAGACCACAACAUCCCCUCUUUUAAGGGUGCCAUUUUGCACAAUAAAUGUAGCUGUCGAUCCUUUAGAUUUAUGAAGACCAGCUUCAAUUACAGUGCCCUUUGCAUUUCUAUGAGGAUUGGCCUUCAGCUCUUGCAACUUCAUGAAAAAUGUGUUUGGGGUUAGCAUAAAAUCACAGCAACACAUAUAAUAACUCCAUAGGUCACAGGAGAAAAUGUUGCACAAAAAACAUGGCCAGAGUUUUAAGAGAAGUCUAAAUGUCAUAAAAUAUCAAAGGAAUUACUCUGUAGUUGUAAGGGGGCUAAAUAAUGUGCAAAAGCUCACUUAAUCAUGAGUUAUAGUAUGUUGCCCAACAAAAGGAAAAAAACAUGAGUCAAAGUAGAAACAGGAAAGCCAUCAGAAAGUCAACCCCGAGAAGUAAAAGAUGGAUCUACUUUUAACAUUACAAACAUUAAAUAAGAGAAUAAAUUGGGGUAAAAACGCUUGCUAACCCACCCCCAGGAAAGAUACCAUAAGGAAAAUUUGCUUCCAUUACAAAUAACUGUACAAUGCAUCAAUCUAGAUAUACCUCCGCAACAAGCAUGACAGUCUCCAGUAAAUCAUCUACGUUCUCCCCUUUGAGAGCGCUAAUCCGUAAAAUGGCACAUAAUACUGUGAGACACCAUGAACUAGCACAACAAGAUGAAAAGACAGAUCCCAUCCAGAGAAAAAGGUGGACCUGAACCAUAGGGAUGUCGCCGCCCCUAUCUUCGGGCAUCAAGCCAACUGAAGAAGGUUCUUGCAUUACCCAUUCUGGACUGGCUCCAUCUUUAUCGAUCUGAUCAAGAAAAAAUGGAGCAGCUUGAUUAGACACAGGAUGAACAAAUAUCACUAUCCUAAAUACGUUUACUUCAAGCAUUUAUUUCUUAUAACACUUCAGGUAAGUUUUGCUUCAGUUGGCGAACCUUAUUUAUUGCAAUCACUAUCGGUACUCCAGCUGCUUUGGCAUGAGCAAUAGCCUCACUGGUUUGAGGCCGGAUCCCAUCAUCAGCAGCCACUACAAUGAUAGCAAUAUCUGUCACUCUCGCUCCACGAGCCCUCAUUGCUCCAAAUUGCCUGUAAGACAGAAUGUAAUUGAAGUUAGACCAGGCAAUUAACAUAAUAGAGAUUGAUCCCGCAAACUAUACCCUCACUACAAUAAUAAGCCUAAAGUUCAGAAGAUCACAAACUGGUUAAUAUGUGCAGCAAAAUUACCUCAUGCCCAGGAGUAUCCAGGAAAACACAGGGUUGCAAUUUGCCAUCCACAGGUACUAGCACCUUAUAUGCCCCAAUUCCUUGCAUAAUCCCACGCGCUUCUGAUGCAGCCACCUGCAAAAGUCUAUCAGUCAAGUCCAGCCACCCAAUCCAUAAUGCACACAAGCAACUAGACCUGACAUUUCACAGGGAUCUAUGACUUGCAUUUUAAAAUUGGUAUAUUCAUUAAUGUCAUUCCUCAACUGGUAACAAGUGAAACUAAACAGAAAGUACAUUCAGGAAACACAUUUAUAAAGGUGUAUAAUGAAGCCAUCUAGAAAACCUUAAAUGCAGAUCCGGUGCAAGAAUAGUUAAAAAGAGAUCGUAAUAGAAGCUUCCAUUCAUACCUUGCUUUUACGAAUAUAAUCCAACAGGGUUGUCUGCAAAACAUUAUGCACAACACGCAUCAGCGUAAGUUAUUAUCAAUGGAGAAGCAAUGCCAUUUUUCACUUGUCUGAGAAAACAAGGGUCUCACUUAUAUUACCUUGCCGUGAUCCACAUGACCCAUGAUAGUCAGCACAGGUGGUCUAUCUUCAAGUUUGUCCAAGUCAUCUUCAUCAAAUAUUUCCUUCUUCCUUGCCAUUUCUUCAACUUUGAUAGGAUCAGCCUCUAUGACCUCCACCUCAUAUUCUUUACAGACCAUCUUCAACAUUUCCUUGUCCAAAGUUUGCACCCCAUCUGGCUUAAUUCCUUUUGAAUACAAAAGUCCAAGGAUUUCACCUUCACUUGUGGCCAAGUUGUAUGCCAAGUCCUCUAUCAACAUUACCUGUUCCCCAACCUCAAGAAUUUCAACUUUCACUGGAGCAGCUUCUUUGGCUGCCUGGAGUCUAGCUGCCUUCCUACUUGCUUUACUCCACUUCCUACCCUUCCUCGCACUAGCUGCACCUGGAAUGGAGACGUUUAGUUCUGAGGCCUCCUCAUCUGGAAUCUCAAUAUCAUCAUUGACCAUUCUCCUCCGCGGUCCACCAGCUGAAGCAUUCUUCUUCCGAUAGUCAUCUUUGAAUUUGCCAGAGGCAGGUCCCUUUGAAGGCUUUGUAGGGGCUAAAACUGCUUGAGCUAUGAGAGGAUCAACAACUGGUUUUUUGGUAGCAAACUUAUCUAUCAAGUUGGCUUCCUUUCUUUAGUUUUUCCCGGAGCAUCAACAUCAUCCACAGUCGACGAUUUUGGCGCUGCCCCAACAUCCUUCAAGAUUACAGGUUUCUUUAAAGCAGGUGGUGGAGCCACAGAAGGCUUGGCCUGUAACUUAGGUUGCAGUCUUAAAGGUGGCUGAGCAGGUCUUAGAGAAGCUCGAGGCUCAUCAUGCUCUUCAACCUUUUGAGAUUCUGGAUCAUCAAUUACUUUGUUGCUAUCGGGAGAAUCCAUUGGAAACUUUACCUUUUGCACUGCGGCAACAUUGUCCCCUUUCCGCCACACACCUCUUCAAAGUCUUAGCCUUUUUACUUCCAGCAGAAUUCACAGGUUUACCGUUUCUAGGAUUAGCACUUGUACCGGAUGGUGUUGAUUUAUUUACAUUUCCACCCUCCUUUUUGCUUGCUUGUCGACCCAGAUUAGACUUUUCGAGCUUUUCCGCCUUCUCCAACACCUCAUCAAGGGACUCAAGAACAUUAUUCUUAUUUUCUAAACCAUCUAGCGUCUCAACAGAGGAAUCUCUGCUAGGUCUCGAAGGUUCUAGCCCCACUGAAUUGGUCUUAGCAUCGGAUGGUUUCACAACAGGCCUUGGUGCGGGCUUCAGUAAAAUCUCGUUGUCGUCGUCUUUAUCCCCUCCAUAACCAUUGUUAGAAUCAAGGGAGACGGCAUUGGUAUGCUCGGCGAUGAAAUCGGUCGUCGUGACCGAAUAUUUACAAUGCCAUCUUUUGACGCUACUCCAGUGUUUGCCUCUCGGGAAGGCAAUCUUGCGAACCGGCGAAUAAGGCACUUCAGAGGAACCCCGGUUGGCACUAGUCCCCGCACUCACGACGGAAGCUGCAGAAGCCAGAGAAACCAUCGUUCCUCCUUGCAUACCUCCCACUAGAAUCAUCACCAUCAGUAAUUCUCACGCAAGAAGAGCCAAACACACUAGGGAGUCAACAGUUCGGUUCGGUUUGGUUUUUCAGUUUUUGCUUUUUUUCGCUUUUGGUUUUUCGGUUACGCCGUCCGUCGACGAACCGUACGACGGCCUUCUUGGCGACGCUUGUAAGCUGAACAGGUAAGCUCGCCCCUGCUCUUGCCCUGUUUUGGGCGCGCCGGGCCGGAGCUCCCGGCCGUCCGGCUCCCGCGAGCUCCGGCCGGCGUCGCCCCGCGUUUUGUUUCCGAUGUCUUGUUCGUCGCGUGUCGAGAGUCCCAGUGCGGGUCGAGCUUCGGUUGACCCAAAAAUCCAUCGUUAUAGUAGCACACCCCAAUUGUUUGAUAUAAUGCCUGAACUGGAUCUGAAAGUUUGGGUGGGGAAUAUUCGUUCUCGUCGUGUCGUUUCGUCUGUGGCCGUCGUUGCCCCUUUCUUUGAUUGAGCAGACGGAGGCAAGCGUCGCUGAGGCGUGGCUUUCGGACGGUAGGGGUGUGUCGAAACCUUAGAUUGGGUCUCGGUUUGGCCGUUCGGGGCAAAGUUUGGCUUCCACCGUGAGGAGGCCAGCGAGGGCAAGGGGGUUCCGGCGACGGCCGAGGUUGUCGACCGUGACUCGCCGAGCACCAGGUGUUGUCGGACAUGGAGGUCGGGGCGCCGGUAAUGCUACUCGGCUGGUCUAGGCGGUGGGGCUUGGUGGAGGCUCGGGCGUGGAAGAGAAGCUACUGUUCAGGAGAUGAGUCCAUCGUGGACUCAAGGCCGGUGAGGGGCUCGUCGUAGCGGUGUCGAUGGUUCGGGCAGGAGGGCUGCAGGUGAGCGUUCGGUGAAGAGAGAGGAGUCGUCAAGGAAGAAGGAACUGUAGAGACUAGAGAAGAUUUUAUCGGUUCGGGGUUCGGUUAACCGAUAAAAACCGAACCGAUAAAAAAAUUUCGGUUUUUAACAAAGACCAAACCAAAAAAACCGAAUUUUUCGAUUCGGUUCGGUUCGGUUCGAUUUGAUUCUCGGGUCGGUUUUUGACACCCCUAAAUCACACCUCCAACGACCGAAAAGAAACGAACUAACAAAUUCUCAAAUUCACAACCCUCUUCCCUCUCCUAAGGUUUAUCAUAACCCACAUGGCGAAAGGGCGAUUUACUCCAAAGGGUAUCAAAUUCCGAGCUCUCGACAAAAUAAUCAAGAAGGAAAUUCAGUUCCACGUACAGGGCAGGCGAGCGAGUUAGUCAGAUACCGGGAGUAGAUAAUUUACCUGAAGCCCGAUUCUGCGAGGAAUCAAGAAACGGCAAUGGGUGUCCGAGAAAUCAUCUGACGAGCGAUGUUUCGGUUAAGAAGAGGAUGAGAGGGAGAGGGAGAAGGGGAGAGAGAAUCCUCUGUGGCUGAGGGAGCGCAGAGGAAAAUAUAUGGCCGUGGCGAUGACGAAAGAGGCCUGAAAUUUUUCAUAUCAUUUUCGAGAUGGGGAUAUAAAUACGUCUCAAUUUCGGAAGAGGAGGACACCAUGACGUGUCUCCUUUCCAGUACCAGAAAUUCAACAACAAGGGAAAGCCCUGAGCAGUAAUUACUACAUUAAGACUGGUGAUAAAGAUAAGAAGUACCCACAAAGACUCAUCUCAGAUCUCUACUCAAGAGCUGAGGGCCUUUUUGACAUGCAAGGUGAACUCAUACACCUUCUGAGGGUCGGGGACAGACUUGGACACGCUCUCUUUAUUCAGGCACCUCUUGGUCCAAGCUAUCAAUUUGGGGCACUCCGCCUCAAUGCUGAAAUUUCCAAACUUCUCGUACGCAUAUAACCAGGUGUAGAAGGGGAUGGCCGCAACGUCCACGAAUCCUAACCUCUUGCCCCCAAAGAAGGGCUUGUCACCGAGCUCACCUUCCAAUAGCUUCAGGCUCUCAAUCAGCUCCUCCUUGGCCACCUCUUCCUUUCCUUCUAUGGUCCACACCUUCCUCUCCAGGUCAUAGAACUGCAAGUAUUUUUAUAAGUCAAUUAGAAUCACACGAUGUUUAAUUUCAACGUCUGCAGAAUUCAUCAUAUUUAGAAUCAUCAUAUUUAGAAUAGGCAACCGAUUUUUGUGCACUAUUUCCUAGAGUAUGAUAAUAAAUUUGCUCGAGAAGUUCUUCCUGAAAGUCACUUCACCGUUAAAAAGAAUUUAAUUGAAUAAACCACAUCUGCAACCAGUAGAUACAUACAUAUAAAGAACAAUCUGAUCAUAUAAGCCCUAAAGCACCCCUUCCAUUUUUUUGUCCAACCAAUUAAGGCAGAUGGGUAACCAAGCAGGCGGCGCUACCGACUUUCAGAGUUACCAUGGAGACAAUGGCACUCGGCAUUACUAACGAGCUCGAGGGUAUAGAGGUGAAAUCAUUCAAACCCCACAAUCACACAGCAAGCUGGUUUGAUCCCUAUGCAAGCGGCUACGGAUUCAGCUACUACAACUACCACGGAGCGUGAGAUUUGAGAAGGGGGGAAACUUUACCUUCUUAUCGACAUAAUCGGCCCAGAACCUGGCCUGAGCCCUCUGCUUAGGGUCGGAAGGCAAGAGGGACCAACCGUCGGACCAGGUCUCGUCGAUGUACUGGAGGAUGAUGAGGGACUCGCAGAUGGGCGUGCCGUUGUGGACGAGGACGGGGAUCUUCUUGUGGACGCGGUUCAUGCGGAGGAGGAGGUCGCUCUUGUUCCUCAGGUCCUCCCCCUUGUACUCGUACUCGAUCCCUUUCUCCGCCAGCGCGAUCCUGCACCGCAUGCCGAACAUGCUCGGCCAGGAGUCCAGCAGGAUCACCUCGUCGGCCAUCGCUUCCGGCUCACCACCCCACGGAGACAUC